Molecule: transfer RNA, 84 nt
Filed under: Felis catus (domestic cat)
Lineage: Eukaryota; Metazoa; Chordata; Mammalia; Carnivora; Felidae
Also listed under: 2 other names
Rfam family: tRNA
About the family: Transfer RNA (tRNA) molecules are approximately 80 nucleotides in length. Their secondary structure includes four short double-helical elements and three loops (D, anti-codon, and T loops).
Source: Rfam by way of RNAcentral
GCCUGGGUAGCUCAGUCAGUUGAGUGUCUGACUUUGGCUCAGGUCAUGGUCUUGUGGUUGUGGGUUCGAGUCCCAAAUCAGGCU